GUGCAGUACUGUCGGCCAUGUGAGGCCGGUUGGUUCUGCAGCCGAGCCGGUCUCUCGAAGCCUCAGGGUCUCUGUAACUCAGGACACUACUGCACCUCAGGAGCGUCCACUGCCUCUCCGGUUGCCAUGGCCUCUGCUGCUGUAUGUCCAGCAGGUUUUGUCUGUCCGCAAGGCACCAGGUACCCCCAGCAGCACCCCUGCCCUGUAGGAACCUGGAGCAGCACUGUGGGAGCCCAAAACCUUUCCUCCUGCUGGCUCUGCCCUCCAGGAUCCUACUGCAACCGGACUGGACUCAGCCGGCCCUCAGGAGCCUGCAAUGCCGGUUAUUACUGUUCAGGAGGGGCUGUGUCGUCAGUACCUUCAGACGGCGUGACAGGGGACAUUUGUCCAGUUGGACACUUUUGUCCCG
Molecule: long non-coding RNA, 409 nt
Organism: Gasterosteus aculeatus aculeatus (three-spined stickleback)
Lineage: Eukaryota; Metazoa; Chordata; Actinopteri; Perciformes; Gasterosteidae
Source: Ensembl